CGCCUGCCCUGGUGCUCCGGCUGACGCCAGUGUUUUUUCUGCCCCUUUUAAAACUGAGCUGGAGUGUUCCUGACUCCUCCAUUCGACACCUCUGGCUCCCUUAUUCCCCUCGAACAACCUGGUUAUGAAGGAAAUAGGGAUGGUGCAUGAUGUGUUACUGGGACAAGGGAAGGAAACCUGUGGUGAUUCCUUCUGCAAUCAAAGCCGGCUUCAGAAUAUACAGAAAAGAACUCAGUAAACCUUCUUGGACCGAGCUCCAGGACUCCUCAUUCAAAUAAUGCAGUCCACUAUGGACUGAUGCGAGCGAGGAGACGUGGAGGCUGUCAGCAUCACCUGGCACAGCACAGACAUCAGGAUGGUGGCAUCAGGAUGCUGUGACCUCUGGCUGGUCAUUGGAAGAAAGCUGAUGUGAUGGAACACUGUCCUGGCAUAAGAAUAGCUGCCUCCAAAGCCUUCCAUUCCUCUCUAUGUUCUCCUGAAGGGGAUGGUUUAAUACCAUAGGCAAAGAUUUUCUUAUAGGUCUUCAAGUACCACAACUGUAUUUGUCUUUGCUUCUUUCUGAUGUAUAAGGAAAUGCCUUGAAAAGUGAGGUUUUCAAACUGUCUGGAGGAAAGCUCAUCUUUUGGCAUCUGCUUAAGCCGUACCAAACACAGCGGGGGUUGUGUUCCUGGAUGGCGUGCAGCAAGCAGGCACUACAGGUGUCAGGCAUUUGCAUUUGCUGGAGGACUUCUUAGAGUUCUCUGAUGGGUGCUGGGACUGCCCUCUCACUGUAAGGUGAAGGCCUGAAGUUAUUAUAUCUUAAUCAAUGUCGAGUUUUCUUGGAGUGCUGUGAUUUUCUUUAAAAAAAAUUAAAUGGAUCCUUGGUUGGGGCAAAUCCAUGUGGUUCCACUGACUGUCUUGCAGCUAAGCUAGGUUUUUGCUAGCGAGGAAGCCGGCUUUAAGAACUUAAAGGAGCCUUCCUAGGAUUCACUCUUCUAUCCUUCAUUUUUUGAUGACAGGUUUUGACUCCUGUUUCCAUUUUGCAAAUGGCCAGCAAGUCCCGAGCCAGGAAAAACUGGAAUUCCUUUGAUAGCUCAGAUGAGAUCAUAACUUAGAGCCAAACUCUGCAGAUGUUUGGGGCUUUGAUUUGAAUCAUCCAAUAACAGAUUUACUUAUUGCUGCUCACUUCAAAUUUAGUGGUUAAGAUAGUUUCCAAUCAGCCACCUGAUCAGCAUCUACUAGGAAGCAUGACCAGCCUGCCUCAUCUGUUGAAUCUGGAGUUGGAGAGCUGAGCAGGUCCAUGACACAGGACAAAGCAUUCUUUGUAGAGUAAAUUUUUCUUCUCUAAAAAUAUAUAUAUUUUUUUCCCCUGAUGCUUUGUUUUUCUUGUUACCGAGGUGUGGAAAGACAAAAAGAAGAAAAAAAUAAUAACUCCAGAUUGAGCAGAAAACAGAGAGUAAAAUUAGCUGAGGAACUUCCAAACAAGUGUGUAUGUGUACACACAGGAGAGCUUGGUUUUGUUUACUAUUUGUUUUGAAUUUCCAUUCUUUGCCCUCAGAUCAAGCUCCAGGAGAAGGGAGAGCCUGGAAUGAGGUCUCAGAUGUCUGCAGCUCUGAAAAGCUGUGAGAGGAACCCUAGUGAAAGGCUGAAGCAGCAGAUGCAUGUGCAACACUUUCAAUGGCUUUUUGCUAUAGAAUCCUUGCUUCCUGAGAGUUUUAUUCCCUUUGUAAUUACUGAGAAAGAUGGUAACCAAGGAAAGGCCAGUAUCUGUUAACCUCUUCAGUGCUGUGCAUCUGGGUGAUGGCUGUCAUCUGCAUCACAGGAGAGCCUAGAGGCUGAGACCAAGUGCUCUGGGCUGAUCUGUGCAUUGUAACACCAAAGUCCUUAUCUGACAGAUAUGACAAAAGAACAAGACUCACAAAGGAAGUGCAGGAGCUCUCACAUCAGUGUUAAGUAAAAUCCUGCCUGGACGAUUCCUUAACAACGAAUUGAUAAACUUUCAGCAUGCUAAUGAUUCCAUUGGGGCAUUGGAGAAAUAAGCAGCCUGUGUGGGUAAAAUGUUCUAUUAACUCCAAUAACCAGAUUUUUGCAUCCUUUUUGUUUGCAGACUGCUUAUUUUCUGAUCCUGGUGACUGCUGAAACCAAGUUCCACAUGUAGAUCACUGCCUGGUUUGAAGCCAUGUGGUUGUUCCAAUGUUCUCGGUCCUGUAAACAUCUCCUAGAACAUGGCAUACCACUUCAUCUGCCUCUCAUUAAGUAGAGAAUGUGAUUACUAUUAUGCACGGAGUUGUCAAACCAGUCUGGUGUUUGCAGACUUUACCAAGGAUCAGGUGUCCUCCUUCACCACGAUGCCAUCCUCUUCUCAAUAGCUGCCACUGGCAAAGUUAGAGAGUGCUUAAAAAAACCCACAAAUAUACAGUACACAAGAUAAAGUACCAAAAUACAGGUGUAGCAUGUGUCAGGGAAUUAUUUAAAGUGUCUGAAGCUUGAAACGCUGAAGUUAAAGUAUCAGCUGGGAUCUGGUCUUAGCUUGGUCACAAACAGAACAUGCAAAGUGCUCAGGAAAGGAGGCCUUGCUGUGGAAAGCUAACUCUUCUGUGUCUGUUUCUUCCCACCUGGAGCUCCAGCAGAGGAAGAACGCAGUGAAGAGAAUGAGGAUCUGAAGAGAACAAGUGCCAGUGCAGCACGGUGCAUUCUGGAGGGCCAGAAUUGUUGUUAACUUCUGCCUGCUACACACACAGACUUGUUGGUCCUUGUGGGAUGGGACUGCUUCCCCUUCUAUUUUGCAGCUCUUCGUUAUCUCUCAUGAGACAGGCAACGGUAACACAGUGUGUUUGUCUCUGCCUGGGUUCCUCUGCUCUCACGUUUCUAGUGUUCACCUUGCGUUAGGAAAAAGUGGAGCGUGCUGCAGAGCACAGAUGUGCAUACGUCCUUGUGGUAGAAGGGGGACUGGGAGCCAUCUGCCUUUCAUAAGCGCAGAUGUUUCCCUCUGAAGGUGGGACUUAUGUCAAGUGCCCUUCAACUGCUCAAGCUUACCUCCUGAUAGAGUUGUGUUCAUUAUGUCAGGGCUAGCCACAGUUGAGAAAAGGGAGUGUUAUCAUUUGCCAGUUUACUCUGAUACCCUGUGUAUGUAUGUUGUCUUUAACCAGGCUGAAUAAAAAGCAGAAAGGUCUGCUCAUGUCAUGGACUUACUGGUAAAUG
This is a long non-coding RNA of Centrocercus urophasianus (Greater sage-grouse), 3180 nucleotides long. RefSeq lists it as uncharacterized. NCBI's taxonomy places the organism in Eukaryota, Metazoa, Chordata, Aves, Galliformes, Phasianidae. The transcript has 3 exons. The record is from RefSeq and is a predicted model, not a curated record.